CACAGCAGAUCAGAUCAUUCACUUUUUACGUACUCGAGCUCACGCUGUGAUGCUGAAACAGACUCCGGUGUUGCCGCCCACAAUCACAGACCAGAUCCGACUGUGGGAGCUGGAGCGGGACAGGCUGCGCUUCUCGGAGGGUGAGUGUCUGUGGAAGAAAGA
Pogona vitticeps (central bearded dragon) is the source of this 162-nucleotide non-coding RNA. NCBI's taxonomy places the organism in Eukaryota, Metazoa, Chordata, Lepidosauria, Squamata, Agamidae. The record is from RefSeq and is a predicted model, not a curated record.